RNA transcript from Cavia porcellus (domestic guinea pig), 3997 nucleotides. It is a transcript of the gene named zinc finger and BTB domain containing 9, with no coding region annotated. Lineage: Eukaryota; Metazoa; Chordata; Mammalia; Rodentia; Caviidae. The transcript has 2 exons. The record is from RefSeq and is a predicted model, not a curated record.
UGCGCUCCCGGCUACGGUGUCCGGCGAGGAGGCGGUGGCUUCCGGCCGUGGACGGCGUGGUAGCGGCUGAGGUGCUGCGAGUCCAGCGUCGCGUGCGUACACCCCACGGAUUGAUCCGCGGGUCGGAUCAAGUGGCGCCCAGCGUGGGGGCUCCUGGCACGGGAGAGUCAACGAGGGAGCCGUUCGAGAAAGCUGGCUAAAAGAGAAAGCAAAUUGAACCAAAGAUCGCGGCAAAAGGAAAAACAAACUAAAUCAAGGAUCAAAGCUAAAAGCAAAAGGACAUUAAAUUAAGGACCGAGGCCUGCACAGACAACUACCCGAUGUCCCGCCCGAGUCACGGUGAGUGAAUGGCAACCCCAUUCCCUUUCCCGGACAUGGGUCAAGCAUUGAACAAACACAAAUUGUUCGUGGGAGGCCUUAUAAAGGCAUUAAAGACAAGAGGGGUAAGGGUUAAAACAAAAGAAUUAUUGCAGUAUUUUCAAUUUAUUCAUAAGGUUUGCCCUUGGUUUCCCCUAGAGGGUUCUAUAGAUACCAAGAGGUGGAAAAGAGUAAGAGAUGCUUUAAAAGAUUAUUAUAGGGUUUUCGGUCUGGAAAAAGGUUCCGUUGACCACCUUUGCAUAUUGGAAUUUAAUGUCUGAGCUGCUUGCCCAGCGGCAUGCAGAUCCUCAGAUUGAGGAGACGGUCGCACAAGCCCUCUGAGCUACACAGCCUUACAGUGCCCCAAGAUGGCGCCUGCCUCGGCAGGCCUCAUAACACUCUUAAAAUGGCGCUUGCCUCACUUCCGCCACAUCAGCGUGGGUCCCUCCCAAAACUGUGUUUCCGGUGACGGAAACAAACGUACCUCCCCAAGAUGGCGCCGCACAGCCGCAAGAUGGCGUGAGCACCACACUGCUAGCUUCAUAAGUCAUUAGGACACAUACGCCAUUCACAGUGGCAGCUUUAAAAGAAUUAAAGACAGCGGUUGCCCAAUAUGGCCCUACAGCUGCUUUCAUUCUUACUGUUUUAAAUUCUCUGGCUGACGCUGGCUCACACCUACAGAUUGGCAAAGAUUGGCCCAGCCCGAGUGACUUUAUUGGGUGGUGCUAAUCUUUUGUAAAAAUCAGAAUAUACAAAAAAUUGCAAAGAGACCGCCAGGCACAAUUCACAGGCUGGCAAUGGGUGGGACCUUAAUAUUUUAAUAGUGGAAGAUGCCUAUGCAUGCAGAAAGGCUCAAAAAGAGUUUAAUCCAACACUUUUUGCUCAAAUUCAAACAGCAGCUACUUGAGCAUGGAGAAAGCUGCCUACAAAAGAUAAUAUGAGCUCCUCUCUCACUAGCAUUAAGCAAGGCUCAGAUAAACCCUUUUCAGAGUUUGUUGAUUGUUUGAUUGCUGCUGCUACCGGAGUCUUUGGCCGUGCUGAUGCAGGCACUGAUUUUGUUGAACAGCUGGCUUUUAAAGGUGCCGGCACCAUCUGCCGGGCCGCUACCAGACCUCAUAAAAAUAGAACAGGCCUAACAGGAUAUAUACACCUUUGCUGUGGCUGCUACCUUGCAGGAGUGUGCAGUUGGACAGUUCUUGUAUCAAAAGCAUGAACAGGACUGUUUUGCCUGUGGAGAGAAAAAGACUCCAAAGAUAGAGAUUCCAAUGUCAAUUACUUUGACUCAUUUAACUGAUCGGAGUGAUAUUGGUCUAGUCUCUUAAGUUUAAUUUCAGCAUAUAUAAGGAUGGGGACAGCUACUGAGAGGAGAAUGAGAGACACUAUGGUAGUUAUUAUUGUCUUCCCCAGUGUCAGAUCUUAAAAACCUGAGGAGCCUUCAUCAUCCUGUAAUGAUUUGAUUGGUUCUAUAAUAUGCAGCGUGUAUUUAAUGUGUGUGAAGAUGGAAACAACUGUUUGGAGGAAACUAGAGACAAUUAGAUAAACAAUGAAGAUCUCCAGUAGACUUGCUUUGAAAUCUGUAUUUCUUUAAAUCUUUUUUUUUAAAACUGUUUUGUUCUGUUUUGAUAUGUUUGGUCUUGCCCUCUUUGAGAUAAAAAACAAGUGUGUAGGACUGAUAACCACAUUACUGAGUUUUUAUUGGAUCAUUGAGCAAAACUAUUGGCAGUGUCACUGUUUAAAUGUCAUUUUGCAUGCUUUAAUUUUGUAGCCUGAACAGCUAUUUCUGGGAUGACAGUGUAUAACUUAUUAACUGUUGAUUUCUUACCAUUUAUUUUUCUGUAAUGCUGUAUUAAGAUCACUAUAAGACAGAUAGUAAAAAAUUGCCUUUCUUGUGCCAUGCACCUCCCAGUUCCACACUUUGGGGUUAAUCCUAGAGGACUUAUUCCCAAUGCAUUAUGGCAAAUGGAUGUCACCCACAUUCCUGAGUUUGACAAUCUUAAAAAUGUUCAUGUAACUAUAGAUACCUUUAGUGAUUUCAUUUAUACCUCUCCCCAGACUGGCAAAGCUACCAAAUGUUAUUAGCCAUAUGUUAACUACCUUAUCAGUUCUGAGAUGCCCACAACAAUUAAAGACUGAUAAUGGUCCAGGCUAUGCUAGUUCUGCCUUUGCUCGUUUCUGUCAACAUCUUAAUAUUGAUCAUAUAAAAGGCAUACCUUAUAACCCUCAAGGUCAAGGCAUAGUUAAAGGGCGCAACUCUCCCUAAAACUCACUGUUGAUAAAAUAGAAAGGGGGGAGUGGUGCUCCACAAGGGGGACACCUAAAGGUGUUCUAUCGCAUGCCUUAUUCAUCCUUAAUUUUUUAAAUUUGGAUGCUUCUGGACAGUCAGCAGCCACGCGUUUUUGGCAUUCUGAAACACAAAAGCAAUUUGCUUCUGUACUAUGGAGAGACCCCCUGAUUAAUUCAUGGCAUGGCCCUGACCCCGUUCUCAUAUGGAGACGCGGUUCAGUUUGUGUUUACUCUCAACAAGAUAGAGAGGCUAGAUGGCUACCUGAGCGCCUCAUAAAACAAGUAGACAGUUCUUCAAAGACCCCAUGCGACGCCCAGGAAUAAUGUCAUUUCCUGAGGCACAAUCCCCUGUGUUCUCUUACAGGUGACACAACUCCCCAGAGCCCUGUGCUGCCUACUCAGCCUCCUCCUUGAGCCAUACCACACCCAUGGUGGACUGAGAUGCCUGCCAAACAGACUACAACUGCUGAAAGCCAUGCAUAGAACCCCCAGUGACUGCGGAAGAGGCUCUUCUCAGUCUGGAGGAACACAAACCAGCCAAAUAGACUGCGUCUGGUGUUAUGUGAGGCAAGCUCCAAGACAUAGAAGAACGACUUCAACAGUGACAACAACAAAUGGCUGCCAACCCCUUCUCCUCAAUGUGUGUGUGGGGGGGAGCUUUUCCCUUACCUAGCGCCCCUUUUGUGUCCCCUAGCUGCCCUAUUGCUUCUCCUUUCUGUGAGUCCUUGUAUUUUUCAGAGGAUUAUGACGCUCAUUAAUAACCGGAUAGAUGCAUUUAUGGCAAGACCAUUCAGGUACACUGUCAUCAGCAGGAGAUGGCAGAUCAACAAACCUACCGGGAAGGAAUUCCCACGAGUGGCCCAUAUGGCGAUGCGGCCUAACUGCCCUGGGGCAAUGGACAGGCAGCCAGAGACGGGCAGCUAGGACAUACAUGCCACACCACCAGCCGCCUAAGACAGGCACAGGACCAACUGCUGUCCCGCAAGCCCAUGACGGGUAAGGCCUGGUUGGGUUCAUGUAAUGAAGUCCUUGACCUAAGACAGAUGCUGUCCUCACAGGGCCUGCCAUACUCCUGAUUAAAUAAUAUAGAAAGGGAGGAGAUGUAGGGAGCCGCGCGACAGCCCCAUUGCUGCCUCCCUGCCUCUCUCUCUCUCUCCUAUGGGCACAAUGCGUCUGCCUACAUUAACCAUAAUCCUCUCCUGCUUACGUCACAUACCCGGAUGUGACGAUGACCCUGUUGUAUUCAUCUUCGUAGCCUCUUCCUGUCCCACCAGCCCGCCCUUGGCCUAUAAAAGAUGUGAUCACUUCCAGAAUAAACGGGGCUUGAUGGGAGUCUCUCGACUUGCCUCAGUCUCUC